GGCCGGUAUGAAGGGCAUCACGAAAGCCCCACUGUCUUAAAAGGACUCUCCAUGAAAUUGAAUUCGUAGUGAAGAUGCUACGUACAUAUUGUAAGACGAAGAGACCCCAUAGAGCUUUACUUUAAAUUUGUGGGGCUUAAAAAAUUUAAAUGGGGAGUUUAGAUUAGGUGGGGCCGUUCUGGAAAAUGAAACACCACCCUUUUAUUGUAAAAAAAGCUAACCCGACAGGAGAAGGGCAAGUUGGAAAGUUUGGUUGGGGCGACCGCCUUUUAAAAAGUAACGGAGGUGAACUUAUGGCCCGUGGUUAAUAGCUUGUGGCCUGACUGCGAGGGGUACCCCCAAGCAGGCACCCCCGGUGGGCUAUAGGGACCCGUCUUCUUGGAGUGGAAAAGAAGGCGAUCAACCAAUAAAAACCAACAUGGGG
This 424-nucleotide ribosomal RNA is filed under the name Protanthea simplex. RNAcentral's name for it is "partial 16S large subunit ribosomal RNA". It matches the Rfam family "Bacterial large subunit ribosomal RNA", at positions 1985 to 2473 of the family's 2925-position model. The record is from RNAcentral. Lineage: Eukaryota; Metazoa; Cnidaria; Anthozoa; Actiniaria; Gonactiniidae.